Long non-coding RNA from Erpetoichthys calabaricus (reedfish), 2528 nucleotides. RefSeq lists it as uncharacterized. The transcript has 3 exons. Lineage: Eukaryota; Metazoa; Chordata; Cladistia; Polypteriformes; Polypteridae. The record is from RefSeq and is a predicted model, not a curated record.
CCUAGUCAUUGGAAUGUACUUUUAUGGAUAUCCUUGGCUGUACUUUUCGGGGUGAUUUUUCUCCUGGUGUAUUCUUUCUCAGCAAAACACAUAAAAAAAUGGAGAUUGGAAAGGAACGCAACAGAGGUGACAGAAUUUUAUGACAGAAGCAAGCCAAACUUGUCUGAGAUCGCAAUUACCUCUGAAAAUUGUAAGCAUUUUUCUGCCCUUCUGAAGGAAGAGACAAGUUUGCUAAGAUUGGAGGAACCAAGUGAUCAGAAUGUAACCCCUGACCAUUGUGUGCGAAAUGAGAAGGAGGAAUGUGAGACUACUUAAGAGUUGUGUUAUCUAAAACAUAUGCGUUUACAUACACUUUAAUAAUUGUGCUGGUAUCACAAAUUCAAUGUAAACUCUUAUUCCGGUUAAAGAAACUGUGAUAUGAGGUUAACACAUACAGUACAUACUGUAGAUUUCUGUGCCUGUUAACCAAUUCAUCAAGGUGCCAUGUAAACCCUUAACCAGGUUACACUUGAGGAUUUCAGAGUCUGCACGUGUCAUUGCGUCGUCCUCGAAUCCAGCAAUUCCAUUAUUCCUUCUGGUUGGAAUAAUCUGUCUCAGUCUUUCAGAAAUUGCUAAAUUUUUGUCGAUGCUAAGCUCAGUAGCACAUGUGAGCUGCAUUUGGUGCAACGUGUUAAAGGUAACAAGCAUUAUGUAGUCCUCAACUACUACUUAAAGUGAAUCGUAACCAUUUGUUGUAUUUUUCUUUUUUUUUACUAUUGUACCGUCUCGUCUUUUGUUGCUUUAGGCACGUGGUCUCAGUGGUUGGCACUGCUGCCUCACAGCUCAGGUCACAUUUGUAAACCACAAAAAUCAGUCCAGCAGAGAUGGCAGUUGCUUCCCUAGCCCUUAUGAACACACAAAAAGACCAAUACAUCAUUAUAGUUCACUCAAAACUAAUUCAGUUCCUUCUUCCCCACUGACUUCAGUGAUUUUCACUGUGUUCUGCAAAGGUCCUGAACAUUUCCAUGAUUUUGCCAUUACUGCCAUUUUGCAUUACUACUCAGCACCUUUUAGAUACAAAAACUGAAGCUACAAUUCGUCACUAGGGGAAUUUACAAAUGCAUGUUUCUGAGCACAGUUUAUUCAGUUGUGGAAGAGUAUUCUGAUAGUAUGGAACACCAGAUUGAAAACAACCCCCUGGCCAAGAUAAGAGUCCUUCGCAGAGAGCAAUACUUAUACAGACUCUUAAAUUAGAAUUGCUUACACGGCAAUCCCUUAUUCAUUUGUUCACUUUCUAGUUGCAGUUAUAGCAUUAAUACAGUGUUUACAAAACAUUUUUUCUAAGCAAAAACAUCUCAAGACACACCACGAUUUUCAACUAACCACAGAAACAUUAUAUCAUAUACAUGUUUAACUGUCCGAAGGGGCUAGACUACCGGAGAAACCAGUAAAAAGGGAGCUCCAACAUGAGCAUUCAAAGACAUGGUACUUAGUGAGCACUUUGUGUGCAUCUCCCAGUUGCUUAUUCCCUUUGCCUACCGCUCUCUACCUCAGAGGCAACUUGUAUGCCCACUACACAAUGGCCCUGUGAAACUCGUCGGAGAUCACACACCCAACCAGAUGGAUUUUAGCAACCACGAGAUGUGUCCAAAGUGGCUUUAAGUGCUGUGUCUGCAACAGGGAUCACAGAGCUGCUUUUAUGUCAGCUUCUCCAGGUAGUUGUGUCCUCCUCCGACAGGUCUCGACCACCUGUGGAGCUUGUCUUUCUCAGGUUCGGACUCGUGUGUACUACGUUAUUAUUUCAAUGUCACGGCUCACCACUAUGCUGCAACACACUAGUUGAAAAACACUGCUAUAAUAUAUUCAUAAUUGGCUAUCAAUAAUUUCUCAUGUGUUCUUAUAUAAAGAUUAGACUGUGACAUCUAAAAGCUCAUCCCUCUGUUGUUCUUUUUUUCAAUGUUCACUACUGAAUUUGGGAAAAAAUGUUGUCCAAAUGAAAAUUCUGAAGCACAGGAACAACAUUAGGAGAAGUUCUGUUAAACAUCCAAUGUCCAUCCUUUUAAUUGGGCCUCUCACUUUGGUACUGCCUCUAAGUUAUCAGUCUGUAGAUGAGAACAUCUUCCAUCGAGAGAACGGUCUGGAAUAUGAUAAUGUUUCUCAGAGGUUCAAGCGAACCUCAGUGAGACCUACUGGAAUAAAUUAAAUUAGCAACAUGCUCUUUAAAUAAUUCAGGGACCAUCUUUCUUCAUUUUGUAAUAUAUUUAUAUAUAUUUAUAUUUUUUUAUUUAUCAUGACAAUUAACAUACAGUAUGUAUUUAUUUAUAUAUUACCUUCAAUGUAUUUAGUAUACUGUAUUAAUUAUUCACUGUAUGUCCAUCUUUAUGUUGUUUCUGUAUUUAUGUUGCUUCUAAUUUUAUUCUACAUUUUUUUUAAGUUGUCUUUUUGUUGGUGAUUUGUUUGACAUUCUGUGAAAUGUUUGCACUUUUACAUAUUAAAUCAAAAAAGCUUUUCUUCAGGUGUGUGAUUAAAGAUGGUUAAUGUAUGUUUUU